GUUUUUAUCAUUGCCUGAGCGGCAUGAUCACAUCACAAGCUUGGGAAGCUUGGCUACAAACAAUAUAGAAGUAUAUGGGUAUAUUACAGUUUAAAUUGUUUGAUUAAUCAGAAAAAAAGGUGCAAACAUUUUUUUAUCACGAUCAUAUUUGGUUCUGAAAAAUAUUUCACCGUGUAAGAUAUAACAAAAAUGUUUGUGCUUGCGGAAUUAAAAGAUACUGUCAGGGUAUUACCGAGCAACUUUAAAUACAAACUAAAUGAUAUUGUUGCUGACGAAUUAAACAGAAAACUCGCUAAUAAAGUUUACAAGGAUGUUGGUCUUUGCAUUGUGUUGCAUGAUAUUACGAAGAUCGAAGAAUCGUAUAUUUUUCCAGGAGACGGAGCUUCUCAUACAAAAGUGACAUUUCGAUUUAUCGUGUUUCGUCCAUGGAUAGAAGAAAUAUUGAUAGGAAAAGUUCGUAGUUCUAGCUCCGAGGGUGUACAUGUUACAUUAGGAUUCUUUGAAGAUAUAAUUAUACCACCACAUAAAUUACAACACCCAUCACAUUUUAAUCAAACGCAACAAAUGUGGUUUUGGGUAUAUAAGACUGAAGAUGGAACGGAACAUAACUUAUAUAUGGAAACAGGAGAUGCUAUACGAUUCAGAGUAGUGGAGGAGAUUUUUGCAGAGGCACCUUUACCAUCUACAGGUAAUGCUCGUGAUGUAGGUGAAGAAACCAAUAAUGUUGCACCAUAUGUCUUACAUGGAUCAAUUGAUGAACCUGGUUUGGGUUUACUUAUUUGGUGGAAAGAUGUAUAAUUUAUUUUAUACAUUAGUGAGAAUUCUAAAUAAAAUAAAGGUGCAAUAGUGAAUCUCGAUUCUCCAUCUACACACGUAUUAUCAAACGAAUAACAGGAAUCAUGUAUUUAUGAAUCGAUCAUGAAUAGAUUGCUGAGGGUAAAAAUGGCUUGGAAUGUUACCUUCUGUGUAAUCAGUAUCUGCUACAUACUUUCUUUCAAGCAACAUGUGUAAUGUGUUGCAGCUAUAAUCGUCAAAAAUGGGACAAUAUGCAUUUGUAAAUGAAGCGCGUUCAGUGGAGAUAUUACAUUCCUCAUUUAACAUCGUUUAUUCGAUGAUUAGGCAACGCGGUAGAUGUUCACGUAGGUAAUCAAACAAUUCUCGCGAUGUUCCUGGACAAUUAGUUAGUUCUAACUCAUGUAAAUGUCGAAGCUGUAUUAGACUGGAUAAACCGCUACU
Molecule: RNA transcript, 1236 nt
Organism: Cataglyphis hispanica
Lineage: Eukaryota; Metazoa; Arthropoda; Insecta; Hymenoptera; Formicidae
Gene: Polr3H
Gene name: DNA-directed RNA polymerase III subunit RPC8
Exons: 7
Source: RefSeq, a predicted model, not a curated record